RNAcentral lists this long non-coding RNA (223 nucleotides) under Linum usitatissimum (flax). RNAcentral's name for it is "long non-coding RNA (LUSI_LNC004274)". Lineage: Eukaryota; Viridiplantae; Streptophyta; Magnoliopsida; Malpighiales; Linaceae. The record is from RNAcentral.
CAAUAUCAUCGAGCUCCCUCUCAAUCCAAUCAUCGGCGACCGCCCACGCAACCGGGACCAUGGCCACGCAAGACAAGCGGUCUGCAACGGGCGGAAGAUGAACUUGGCAGUCGACACCAACGGAGCCACACACAAACACCGGCGCACCCGCCGCUACCUAGGGCACCAGCGGCCGUAAGCCCGAAGGUUCUGAUCCCCUCAGUGGCUGCAUUAUCCCUCGCGG